GACAGAGUGUCCUCUCUUUCACAAACUCAAAUCUGGUCACCCUACUAAAUGGUCUAUGUUUUACUCAUUCAGUAGGUUGAAUCGUACAGUAAGUAGUAAGGUAAAUAUGUAUAUGUUUCUAUUUGGUUUUAGGUUCUGUCAGCACUCCUUGGGAAGCCUUGUUGAUUCAAAAGCUGUAUUUUUGAUCAGAUUAUGCGUACAUUUCAGUGUGGCGACUUUUUUGUUGUUGUUCCCUGUAGGCUUUAGAGUUGGAGUUAGAGGAGAGGGAAGUUGGCACCAAGAGGGUGCUGAGUGAUCGGGCUGAAUCCACCCAGCUGCUAAAGUCGCAAGUCCAAGAUCUCCAGAGGAGACUUGAGGAGAAAGGGAAUUAACUCACAGAGGCCAACAAGACUAUCGGCGUCCUAAGGGAUGAAGUCCGUGCUCUGCAGAAACACCUGGAUCUUCUUAGAAGAAAGUACCCGCAUGUACAACACCAGAGCUCCCAGCCAUGUCAGCCCAGCCAAGCUAAUGAUGAAGUCAAGACAUCAGUUAUUGUGGACCUCCCAUCCAUGAUGACUCUUUGCACCUCAGAACAUGAACACACGGAGUCCCCAGGCGCUCUCAGUAAUGACACAGAGAAGUCACCGCCAUGGCUGACUCAGGACUCUGAUGUCACGAGGAAGAAAGCGCAUACGUGUAAGCUCGCAAAAGGUGAGGGGCAGCUCCGAUACUUUGGUAUGUCCUUGUUCUUCUUUGUCUGUCUUCAUGCUUAAUUUUGAAUUUUGAAAUUUGAAAUGAUGGCUUUUUAACAACAUUUCAUGUAGUCGUGUUUUGUAGGAAUGCAUGGAUCAACCUACCCUUACUUUUACCUGCACAUCAGAGCCCAAUCCCACUGUCCCUUCAGGCUCCGUCAGUAACACUGAAAGGUCACCACAGCAGCCCCCACUGAAGACAGUAACAGUGAGGCUGGACGACUGCAGACACAAACUGGGACCGCCACGAGUGCGACGACUGCGGGAAGGUCUUGAAAGUGCGUGGCCAGUCUGCGUGCUCACCGCAGGAUCCAUACCGGAGAGAGGCCUUACAGCUGCACCGUGUGCGGGAAGACGUUCACCCAGUCCAGUAACCUUCAAGUGCGCCGCAGAAGGCAGGAUGACGUCAACUCCAAAGUUAGCGCACGCGCUGCUAAAGAAGCACAAGCACGGGACCAGAGCAAGCCCACGGUGGUCGCGCAUGUG
Long non-coding RNA from Clupea harengus (Atlantic herring), 1217 nucleotides. RefSeq lists it as uncharacterized. Lineage: Eukaryota; Metazoa; Chordata; Actinopteri; Clupeiformes; Clupeidae. The transcript has 4 exons. The record is from RefSeq and is a predicted model, not a curated record.